CUCUAUUAUCUCGGCUUCUCGGGAGGAGCCUCAUCUAGUCAGUCACGCAGAAGUUUCUCUUUCGCUCUUCGCGCUACACACCCAGAUUGGCUUCCAGCGCGCAGGCGAGUGGGGCGAAGGAGGGGGGACAGGAGUCCCGGAAGGGCCGUCCGGCGUUCACACCCACCCCUGUUCCGCUCCUCCCGCCCCAAACAAAGUCCCCCGACUCUAGGUCCAGGAUACGUUACCUGCCCGGCGCUCCCGGCCCCUCGGUCACCGCAUCCCCCGCUGGGCGCGCCUGGUACGGGUCCCGCUCCCCGGGGCUCACAAAGUGGUCGCCCCUGGCUGGGCGGCUGGGUAGAUGCCCCUCUCUGGACAUGUUGGGGCGGUUUUUGGGGUGGAGGGAACGCGGGAAGUGAAAGCGGAGGCUGGGACAAGGGGAACUUACUGAUAAAAUGGAAAAAAAAAAAGCCCACAGGGCCCAGGUCCUGGCCGGGGGCGAAAGAGGCCUGUUACCUUUCGGGGGGUCGCGGCCGACCAAGAAGGGAGCCGGGGAGUCGCCCGCCCCCCUCCCCCGGCCCCCGGCCCCCGGCCCCCGGCGGCUGCGGCAGCUGCACACAGAAGCCCAUUGUCGCCGGCGUCCGGCGCGCAGCCCCGCGGACUCGGCCCCGCGGCCAAGCGCGUCAGCGGCCCCGUCAGCCGGGCCGGGCUCCGUGACGCGCGCGCAGCCCGCGCUAUAAAUAACCUGCCGCCGGGCGGCUCGGGCGGCUUUCCAGUGACGCUGGGGCGGAGGCGCGGUAGGAGGAGGGCGAAAGGAAACAAUAAAACCGCCCGGCAGCCUCCCAAGUCUCCCUCCUCCCUUCCCAGGCCGCCCGCGGCCCUUCGCGUCGAGCUCCUUUUUCCCCGCCCCGGCCCGCCCUGCGGGGAGCGCGGUUCGCGGGUGGGAAGGAGCCCGGCGUGCUGGCGUCCCCGAGUGCUGCCGGGGCCCCGGGGCGGGAGGGGGUUUUUCCCGCACCCUGGGAUGGCGAGGAGGGAACUUGGCGACAAGUUUAGUGAGGGGAUCGCUGUGUUCCUUUCUAGUCCAGUUAAAAUGACCCGAGCUUUUCCCGCUCCCUCACACACCUAUUCUAGUACAGGUCGGAUGUGUUUUUGGGGUAGUAAGUCCUCAACCGAAAACAAAAGCGAAAAACCUGUCGUCUUCAACGUAAGCAUUAUCUAGGUUUUUGUGGGGCCAGGCUUGCAUUAGUGUUUUCAUUCGGGGGGUUGUAUUAUAGAAAGGGUGCCCCGUAGUAGCAGCGUGAGGAAGGGUUCCAGGACCCAGGCUGUCAGCUCCGGUGCAUUUACAGGUCUUUUUGCCGUAGAAUUUAGCAUAGGCCUGAAACAUGGCAUAAAUGAACUUUCUAAAAGUCUAUAAUCUCAACGUUAAAGAGCUUACUUUUUAACUCUGGACUUUAAUAAAGGCUCCCACUUUAAAAGGGGCUUUCUCUAUAGGAAAGUAUUAAUAUUUUUGUGGAGACUCUCACUGCUACCUUCCAUACUCAGGCAAUUCUGUCACACACCCUGACACUUGUCCUACUCAUUAAGGUACCCACAUACAACUGGAGGUAAUCUGUUUUCUUGGACCAACAAUUAAUAGACUAUAAAACUGUAUUUCGUCUUGAGCAAAAUGUCUCAGCUAUGAACAUGUUUUCUGAGGUUCUGAUAUAGACAUAGAUAAAAAUUUGCAGAUGCAAGCAAGGUGUUGCAGUGACUUGGCAUGGUUAGAGUGAGUUACUAGUGUUGGGGGAAAUGGUUCUUAGUUCACUAGUGAGGCAAAGUGGUAUAGUAGAAGGUUCUCUGAGCUGGGGUUUAGAAGAUAAAGAAAUUUGAGUUUUAAUUAUGUCUUCACUGUACUUUUCUGUGCCACCUUGCAGAAACCACGGCCUUUCUCUGCCGCACUUUCUUCAUUAACAUUAAGGACUGAUAGUUCCUUUUCUACCCUUACAUUCUAGGAUGUUAAAGGAUAUUGUGUCCAGGGAUAAAGUUUUAUCAAAUAAACAUAAGCACCCAGUGUCUCAUGGGAGACAGGUAACAAAUGUAGAUUAAUUUGGUGUUCUGACAUUUUAAAAUUUUGUACAUCUUAAAAUAUAUUAGGGCCACUUCAGGAAAAUAAUGAAUUAAAAUAUACCAUUAAAACUAUUUUAAGAGGAAAAACUAGUCACAGUCUGCCUCAUUUACAGGACAGCAGACAUAUUUACAGUCUAAUGAUGUCACAGGCCCUUUCCAACACCACGUUUUCUCAUGUGAGCAAAUGGAUUAUGGGUAGCAAAAUGCAAUGAGAUCACUUUCUCCAAUUUUGCUCCCAUUUCUGGUUUGUGUGGUUUUUAAAAGGAAUGUUUCCGUUGAAAGACACUGAAUUGUUUAUCACUAAGUGGUGUUAUUGAGACAAGGGAAAGUUUUCUGAUUUAUCAGUCAGAAUAUGCUUUAUUCUUCUUUCUUCAGGUUGGUGAAUCAGAAAACAUAAAAGUGGCAAAAUAAGUUUAGAGCCAAAACAUUUGCUUCAUAUAGUCACCGCCAAAGUGUGAUCACAACUAAAAGUUAACCAAUAUUUUUCCAGUUCCAAAAGCACAUCUGUCUCUCUUUCCCAUAAAAUGUUUGAUAUGUCUAAUUUAACUUAGCCUUAAGGUUCUUUCUUCUGCUCCUUAUAAAGAGGUAUUUUUCUUUCACUGCUAUUUUCCUGAAACACUGAGCUUCUCUCAUAAUUUUAAAUUAAAGCCCUUUUGCUUACUUCUUAUCCCUUUUUAACGUGAUGUUCCAUUUUCCAUUAUCCCUGCCCUUAAAAAUUUAAUAGGAUGAGAACUAGCAUAUAUUGGCGAAAUUUGAAACAUGCCCGAUUUUAGAGGGGAGGGAGGAAACAAGAUUAGCUUUAGAACCAGUAGAAAUACAGUAAAACAACCAGUUUCCUCAAAACUAACAAAAACAAAAAAAUCAUAACGAAAUUCGUGAAAUAGGGGACUGAAAAUACGGAAAAUAUUUUAUCUGGAUCUCAUUGAUAACAUAAAGCUUGUUACAAUUUUUCAAACAUAGUGAAUGUUUUAGAAUGUGAACAUUUCCCAAUCUUCUGAAGUUUCUGUCUACCUGAGGUUAAAUCCUUUGAAAGACUCCUCUACAGCAACAGUAUUGAAGAAUUUAUUAGAGAAACUACAGUGAACUCUUGCCUUAUUACUCAGUUAAUCCUGAUCUAUAUUUAGAGAGUGGUGCCAGCCAGGUUGAGGCUUCAAAGGAAUGAGCACAAAUAUUUACCAUAUCCUGUGCAGUAGAGUUUUGGUGAUUGAAAUGAAAAUUCAUCUUGGAAAAUAUCACUGAAGUUAUAGUAUAAGCAAAUCUCAGCAACCUUCAAAUGAAUAAAUAGAAGGUUAACAAGAAAAGUGAUGAGGGAUUCUCAGUAUUCCAAAUGAAAGAAAAGAGACAACUCAGAUUUAGAGGUAGGAGCCUUCUUCAUUUAAAAGGCCAAGAAAUUCAGGCAGACAGUGUCUUAAAAAUAAGGGUGACUAAAUUCAGGAAAAUUACAGGGCUCCCAACAUUAGUUAAAAAUGUGGACAUAUACGCACAUAACCGGCCCUUCUGAUGAGGCUGUCCUGAUUUUAAUGGGUAAUGCCUCAAGCUGCCCAGACUUUGGUAUCCUCCCAUUGAUGGGAGCCACUGCAAACAACUUUGUUGUUCUAGUAUAAAUUAUCAACCUCCAACUAGGAUUUGUUAACUAUGAAUUUUUUAAAAUCCUCUGUGUGGGUUUAGGGUCCUAGACUUGUUUGCCCUCGGUUUCAUUCCUGGUUCUUCUUUCCCCUCCUCUGGUCCAUAUCACAGGGACACUAAUCCCUGCAAGCUGCAUUUCCAAGCUUCCUUGUGAGCUGGUUGCCAGCUGGGUUUGAAUGGGAAGCUGGAGGAGGACAGUGGAGAGCUGGAGGGUAGGAAAAGCUAGGGUGUUCCCCACCACACUGCCACACUCCAGCUCCGGCCAAGUGAUCCAUGACCUCUGACCCUGUGCCCCGGUAUCACAGCCUCUUUCCUUUAUUCUUCCAUUUUGGAGUCACAGUGCCUUCAUCCUUUUGAAAAAUAACUGUCCCUUUUUUGGUUUCUUAGCUCUGUUCUCACCUGUUUUACAAAUUUAUUGAAUUAAAUUCUCCCUAUGUUAAAUACUCAGAGCAGUUUCUGUUUUCCUGGUUGGAGCCUGAAUCCAUAUAUCCCUUUGACAGGCAUUACUGGACCGUAUACACGGAAAAUUCGAUUAUUCCUUGAAUUUCUUUUGCUAGGAAUUCUUUUUUAAAAUGUGCUACUUAGAAGUGCUAAUAAAGGGUUCAGUCCUCAGAAAAGCAGGAUAAAACCUAGUACACUUUAAAAAAUCAAUUUCCUGUGGGCAUAAUAUUAAAAAUUAUAAACACAAAAUAUUACAUAACUUCUCGUAAGUCAGAACAGGGCAAAUACAUAGCUGAGGCUGAGACAUAAAUUCCAUGCCAAUAAGAAGGGUGGCAUAUAAUACCUGUCAAGGCUUAAUUUACAUCACACAUUUGUGAGGCCUACUCAUUCACUAGCUUGUUUGCCAAUGGUCUCCGCCUCCUCAGAUCUUAAACGAGAGAAGGAGAGAGAGAAAGAAGAAGACACUUACAUUACUAAUUUGAAACUUUAUUAUAUAUGUGAUUCCUUGGAAUAAUAUUUUGAAAUCUACAUCAUGUCUGUAUUUUUCUUUUCCCUGUAUUUUCUGCUAUUGCUUCUCUCCUCCCUCUCCACCCCUGUAAGCAGAUCUCCUACUGGGUGUUCAUUGUCCCAAGAAGAGGUAAAAGGAAAUGCAAACAAAAAUGAUCUAUGAGUAUUUAUGGCUUUGUUUUAUAAAAUCCUAAAUUCUUAAGAAAAAGAAUCCAGAGUAUCUGGAAGAAGCUUCAAAGGGGAAAAUAUUUUUCUGAAACUGUUAAAAGGAUUCCCGUGGGCACAUACAAGGGGAGAGAGACAGAACGAUUAGGUUUCCUGAGGGAGAAACAAGGAACUAGAAGCUGAUACUGGGGAAGUAGCCCAAGUAAGAAGAGGCCAGGGUACACUUGGCAAAGGAAUCCCAAGAGGUUGUGGUUUUAGCAUCCAGGUGUGUCACGGGAGACAAAUCAUCACACAAAUACUACCUAGACCUUACUCAUCUGUACUAGAGAUUGCACUAGUUCUUCUUUCCAUUGACCGGUCUUCACCCUAGGGAGCCAAAGUGACUGGUCAAGACUUGUACAGGAGCCACCAGGAGGGAUCUCUGUAUUUCUUUGUUCUCUGUACUUGAACAAAUGUAAAUUGCCACCACAGGGCACAAGCCUGCUGGAGAACAGAGCCAACACAGAGAAAAUGGAUCCAGGAGAUGAAGAUGGAGAAACUGGGUGCUGAAGACCUUUGAGCUGUUUUUGGAGCUAGACUGAUCACUGGACUUUCAAAUCAUAUGAGUAAAACCUGGCUGUGCCCUGUUGAAAUCAAUUCUGUUGCAGUCAUAUGCGGUGGAAUCUGUUCUUCUUUUGCAUCCUACGUAACCAGACCAAGCUGUGGGGUGAGUGCUUUUCUUGUUCUCCAGUGCCAUUUUCAGACCUGUUGUCUUCCUGCAUCCUUCCAAACCCCAGGCUCUGUUAAAGUUGUGCCAUCAGAGUUUUUUGGGUUUCUGUAAAGAUGAGAUCUCACUAUGUUGUCCAGGCUGGUCUUGAACUCCUGGCCUCAAGCAGUCCUCCUGCCUUGGACUCCCAAAGUGCUGAGAUUACAGACAUGAGCCAUCACACCUGGCCCUGUGCCAUCAGACUUUGGCACCUAUUCCCCUUCCUUGUUGCUGUCAUCUAGAGAAUUCAGUUAACUUUAUUCUUUGAUAAAUUUAGCACCUGGCUCAUUGGGGCUUUUUUCAUUAUUAUUCUGAUGUUAUUCUCACUCACUUCCUUCUUUCUGACUUCAAUGCCCACUCAAAUAUUACAUCUAAUACCUUAGACUCCAGUUUCCAGAUCCUCCCACCUUACAAUAGAAUGAUAUAAUUCUUCACCGACCAUCAGCUAUCCACUCCUGUCUAAGGUCAUACUUCUGACCUUGUAAUCAUCAAUAAGUCCAUCAUCUCCAGUAUCUCUAGUACCAGCAUCCCAUUCUUUGACUAUUGUCUUCUAUCCUAAAAGCUCACUAAACCAAGAAUAUCUAUACAAACAAUAUCUUGCCUUUAUUAAGACUCUCUAAUCUGGUGAGUUUAUGACUGAAUCACUAUCAAUCUGUCCUCUUCAGGUACUCCCUUCCUUAUUCACUCACCUUAGACUCUGUAAUACAUUAUUAAGCCACUGUUUGAUAACACCCUUCACUCCCUUGCCUCUGCCACCCUCCUUCACCUUAGCCGAGCUGCAACCCUCUUAUACCCAAUGGUCCCCAUGCAACAACACAACUGAACACUGGUGAAGACAAAAACGUAUGCUUGCUAGCAUCACUUUAAAUUCUGGCUAUAAAUCUCAAGUGGGUAGUCAAGAGCAGUAUUAUUAAACCUGUAGGACUUUUGCAUUCCCACUUUCCAAAAUGAUAAUUUCACCUCAUGUCUUAACUCCUUAAAUCUCCUGACCCAUUUUACUGUUCAUAGUCUCAGCUUAUAACAUUGCUUCAUAAAUCAUUGAGAAAAUAGAAGUAGUUUGACAAGAAUUCCCUCACCUUUCCAAUCAAAUAUUAUCUAUCCUCCUCACUCUAUACCUAUUUUCUGCCUGCUCAAUUUAUUGUAGAGCAACUGUCUCUGCUGCUGUCACUGGUACACUCUCUGGUUUUACUCUGGAAUUCAUGCCCCCCUCACCUUAUUAAAGGUUUUGUUUCUCAAUUCUCUGCUCAUUCUUCCCUGAAUCAUCACUUCUUUCCUCAAUCACUCCCAUUGUCAUAUACCAGUUCUAAUAAUUCCUUUCUUACACACACACAAACACACUGACAACUAAAACAAUAAUAAUAGCAAAAAGAGCAGCAAAAAGACCUUCACUUCACCUUCCAUCCUUUUCCAGCGGUCUCCUGUGUCUCAGCUUAAAUGUUUUCCCAGGGGGUCUUCCUCGUCCACCCAUUUAAAAGUAGCAGCUCAGUUAUUUUUUAUCAUAUUAUUCAAUUUGAAGUCUCUUCAUUGCAUUUAUCACUCUCUUAUGUGUGUAUAUGUUAAUGUUUGUUUACUGUUUUUCUCCACCUCCCCCCAUAUUACAUAAGCUCUGGGAGUGCAAGUGUCUUCUGUCUUUUCAUGUCUGUAAUCUCAGCACACAUGAUAGGCGAAGAAAGUCCUCAAUAAUAAUCUUUGAGUGAGUGAACGAAUGAAUGAAUGAAUGACUCUGUGUGUGUGUGUGUGUGUGUGUGUGUGUGUGUGUGUGUGUGUGUGUCUACAACUAGACCAUAGGAUUCACCAGGGCAAGGACUUUGUGUCUUAUAAGUCUUUGUAGUUGGUGUUUAAUAAACACUUGUUGCAUGAGUGAGUGAAUCAUUGCUCUAAAUGAGCAAUAAUCUAAAGAUAAAAGUUAUUAACAUGAUGUUCCGCUUUUAAAAUUUGCAUUGGCAUUUUUACUUUAACAAAAUCAAAAUGAUUUCUUUUAGGAUUAUACUAAUUCCUUUUAAACUAGUGCUAAUUUGUGUGACUUAUCCAUAUGCAUCUAAAUUAAUUUUUCUAACUUUAACUAGAGCUUAUAAAUAAAUAAGUAUACAUAUAUGUAUGUAGAUGGAUGGCUAUAUAUACACCUACCCACACAUAUAUAAAACAUAUGUUAGUCCUGUUCUAAGGAUCUGCCAAACUUUCUUGGUAAGACUUGCCAAUUGCAAUCAUGUGACAGGAUGACAGUUCUCUUCUCUGGGAGAAGUCCAGACUUCCAGUGUCUGGGACAGAAAUAAUGUAGACCAAGAAACAUAUAUAGCUGAUGAUGGAUGAUUUUUGGCUCUCAUAAUGUGAGGUUUGGUCUUCUUAUUGGGAGACUAUGAAAAUCAUUAGAUCAGAAAUUAUUUUUAUUUCUACUCAGUUGAAAGAAGUUUUCCUUCUAGUAUUUCUGUAUGCAGGCAUACUGCAAAGACAAUUUGCUUGGUCAAUAUGGGUUUAUACUAAACUCUACAACUCAAAGAUAGGAUGAGAUCCUUUUGCCAGUGUAGCUGUCUUAUUUUUAUUGGCAUAGUGACUGUGUGUCCAAAUAUACACCAAUUAUAGAUGUUUUCCUGUUGUCAGUAAUAUGGUACUGUUUAAGAGUGAAGACGUUUUCACUCUCAGGCAAAACUGAUUCUGAGGACAUGACAGGGAUACUUCAGUGAUUGCAUUUAUGCGCACAGAGGAGGUUAACAGUUAGGAAUGCUUUCAGUGGUAAGCAACAAAAUAAUUAGCAGUGCUUCAACAAAUUGGGGCUCAGUGGCUCAAUGACAUAAAGAGUGCCAUCUUUGCAAUUCCAAUGACCUUCCUGUCAAAGUCGAAUGAUGGCUGCAGUGCAAAAGUGUGCUAGAAGCAGGAGGUGGUGUGGACAGGUGAGUUUCUCUUUUUGCUUAUAUUCUCUUAUCAAGGAGAUAAAAACACUUAUCCUCCAACAAACUCCUCCAACAAACUUCCCUUUACAUCUUAUUGCCUCUUAAUUUGUCCCAUGACAGUUCCUAGACCAGCUGCCGAAGCUACCUUUCCUGAGAACUAAAAUCCUUGCCUGAUUUCUGAACAAAUGGGGCCUCCACUUGAAAGAGUGGAUAGAGGAAUGGUUUUUGUGAUGGCAAGGAAUAGAGCCUGCCACAGCGGGCUAACAACCACACUCAUGAAGUUUCAUGGAGGAGAUCUUGCUUAUGUUGAAUUCAACAGAAGCCGACAGGUAAUACAGUUGAGAAAGGUUGAAAAGGCAGAGAGAGAGAGCUGCUUCUGCAAGUGUAUUGAACAAUCAAAGGCAAAUAAUUCGUUACAGCUGGGCAUUCUGUACAUGUAGAUUAGUGAGAGAUGACUGCAGAGGUCAGCAGACCUCGUGCCAUAAAGACAACAUGGAAGCAGGGAGUCAAGUUCUCAUACCUUUGGGCAUUCAUUCUGAAAUUGCUAAAGAAGCAAAUAAAUGUCUGUCUGGGCUUUCCCGCCAUACAUGACUGAGAAUAUCCAGACAUUUCUCUAUAUUAAAGAAAAAGGAGAGAGCAGUCAUUACUUAGAAUGUCUUUUUGUGCUUGCGCGCACGUGCUCUCUCUCUCUCUCUCUCCCCCUAGCUAAACCUUGGCUGGGGAGUUUUCUGCAUUUUGCUAAGCUAGAUUGUACUCAAUGGGUUAUAGAGCCCCAGAAGAUUUUUCAGCUACACUUCGCCCACUAAAACCUUUGGAGAAAAGAGGCUGAAUGCUUGCAGUGAAACUAGUCCUGCUACCCUAAUCAUUGUUGAUCAGGCCAAGAAACCAGUACCUGAACCCAAAUUUGUCCCAGUAAGAACUCACCAUAUUGGGUAAAGACAAACCAACAAAAUUAGAUCUCCUCACCUUGAGAAGGGAAACUGAAUGAGAGAUGUAUGCUAGAAAUGUCAGUAGCAGAAGCAACGUGCAGAGGAGGAAGGAGAGAGGGCAGAGGAGGAAGGAGAGAGGGCAGAGGGAAAGAGCUAGAGAGAAAAAGAAAAAGAGGAAAGUGAACAACAGCUGGGCUCUGGAAAUUAACAUAAUAAGUCUCUGGCUAUUGGAAACUGAGGAGGAAAAAAGAACACAGAAAGUGUCAAUCAACUCUCAGACAAUUCUUUAGUGACAUGGACCAUAUUAUCAUGAUUAUCUUCAGUUCAUAGGAAUCAUUAAAUCUAUUCCCAAAAUGCAAUCUAAUAUUCUCCCAAGGAAUAUAAUAUAUUCAAAUAAAAUUAUUGACAAAGGUUACAAUCGUAAAUUAUUUAUCAGGUUGAAUUACUCCCCACCUUCCAGGGAAGUCUCAGGUUGAGGUCUUUGGAAAUAGUCAUGCCACUGUUUCCUCUUUGAGUUUAUGGUUAAUGGCACAGAGAGAAGUCUUUUCUUCCCUGGGUAGUUCUGAGUAAGAAAACAAUAGUCAAACUUGAAUGUAAUCACUGAGGCAACAAGAGAAAGAAAAGUAAUGUUUAGUUAACAGAACUGCAGACCGGAAGAGACAGGAUUCAUGGAUCUGCCAAGGUGAGGAAUACAGCCUGAAAUGCAAAUAGAAGCAGAUUGGAGAACAGGAAAGAAACUUCUGGAGAAAGCAGGCAAAGGGACCUGUUCCAAUGGAAGCACACUUUAUGUCUCCCAGAAUAGUAGUUCCCCAUCCUGGCUUCCUGUCAGAAUUACCUGCAGUUCGUUUCAAAAAAAACACAUUUCCAGAACUUGCUCAAUUCCUGCUGAAUCAAAAUAUGACUUUUUAUGCAGCUGGCCUGUCACCUACACAUGAUGAACUUUUUCCUGUCCAGAGGAAAAUAUCCAUGAUGAUGGCAAAAGUCCUUUCUUGAGAGCUGUCUUUUAUUCUCGGACUAAGGUCAUCUUAAUUUUUUAUUAUAAUAUUCUUCCUUUUAUGAAAUUGUUAUGACAAAACAUGAUGAGGUUUUUUUUAAUGUUCUUACUUAGCAAAAUAAAAAUUAGCAAAACUAUUGCUAGGUCUAUGACCUUGGAUGGUUCACCAAAAUCACCAUCACUAGUUCCUGAUUUUAAAAUCAGAGUAGUAAAACCUGGCUGGGCACGGUGGCUCACACCUGUAAUCCAAGCACUUUGGGAAGCCAAGGCAGGUGGAUCGCCUAAGGUCAGGAGUUGGGAGACUAGCCUGGCCUAACACGGUGAAACCCUGUCUCUACUAAAAAUAUAAAAAGUAGCCUGGCGUGGUGGCGAGCACCUGUAAUCCCAGCUACUCCGGAGGCUGAGGCAGGAGAAUCACUUGAACCCGGGAGGCAGAGGUUGCAGUGAGCCGAGAUCGUGCCAUUGCACUCCAGCCUGGGUAACAAGAGCGAAACUCCGUCUCAAAAAAAAAAAAAAAAAAAAAAAAAAAAAAGAGUAGUAAAACUUAACAGCAUUGUUUUGUGUAGAUUAUAGGAAAUAACAUGUAUAAUACAACUGGUACAUAAGAAACACCCAAUAUGUUCUCUAUGUUAUCAGGUAAAAUACUUUGGUUUGACUCUUGUUACUCAAAUGAUAGGAUGAUUUACUGUUUCAGGUAAGUGAAACGUCUUGACAUUGUGAUUGGCGUCCAGUCUCCUUCAAACAGGACUCUGCUUUUCUAUGAUUCUUUCUGUUGUCCCUUCCACUAUGUUUUGUAUUUGCCUCUGGUCUAGCUUCUCAAGGUAGCCUCCAGGAUGCACAGAGUGAGAGAGGAUGCUUUUCCCUAAACCAGGAACAAAAUUCCAGCCCUAAGGAGAUUGGACCACUCCCGACCAAUGAGUUUGGCCAGGGAGGUCAUGCACUGAUUGGCUCAGCCCUGGAUCAGUCUACUUCUCAACCAAUCAAGGUGCUAAGGAAACAGGAUUACCCUAAACGAUUUAACACACCGGGACUCAUUCCUGAAGCUGGAGAUGCUGUAACACAAUCAAAACUGUAAGGCUUAAAAGAAUUAAAGUAGGAAUUGCCGCAAUUCCCUUCCUAGACUUAUUCCCAAAUAUACUUACUAUGGACUACCUGCAUACAGCAGCCCCUUCACAUAUUUUUACUGCCUGUCAUAAAGUAGUCUGGGUUACAUUUAAAGAAGCUGCCAGCACUUAAUGCAUAGAAGUACUAAAAAUUUGUUACUGAUGUUUGAAAAAUAUAGAAAAUUAGAAGCGGAAUGGCUGAGUGUAGUGGCUUACACCUGCAGUCCCUACAUGUUAGGAGGCCAAGGCAGGAAGACUGCUUGAGGCCAGGAGUUUGAGACUUGGGCAGCAUAGCAAGGCUUUGUCUCUACGAAAAAUUGAAUAAAUGGAUAAAUAAUAAAAGAAAAGGAAAGAAUAAAGAAAAUUAGAAGGGGAAGAAGCCUCUUAUCCCACCAGAGAGUGUAAAUGAUUAUUAAAAUUUAAUGUAGCUCUCCCUCUCCCUCUCCCUCUCCCUCUCCCUCUCCCGCUCCGUCUCCCUCUCCGUCUCCCUCUCCCUCCACGGUCUCCCUCUGAUGCUGAGCCAAAGCUGGACGGUACUGCUGCCAUCUCGGCUCACUGCAACCUCCCUGCCUGAUUCUCCUGCCUCAGCCUGCCGAGUGCCUGCGAUUGCAGGCACGCGCCGCCACGCCUGACUGGUUUUCGUUUUUUUUUGGUGGAGACGGGGUUUCGCUGUGUUGGCCGGGCUGGUCUCCAGCUCCUAACCGCGAGUGAUCCGCCAGCCUCGGCCUCCCGAGGUGCCGGGAUUGCAGAUGGAGUCUCGUUCACUCAGUGCUCAAUGGUGCCCAGGCUGGAGUGCAGUGGUGUGAUCUCAGCUCAGUACAACCUACACCUCCCAGCCGCCUGCCUUGGCCUCCCAAAGAGCCGAGAUUGCAGCCUCUGCCCGGCCGCCACCCCGUCUGGAAAGUGAGGAGCGUCUCUGCCUGGCCGCCCAUCGUCUGGGAUAUGAGGAGCCCCUCUGCCUGGCUGCCCAGUCUGGAAAGUGAGGAGCGUCUCUGCCCGGCCGCCAUCCCAUCUAGGAAGCGAGGAGCGCCUCUUCCCCGCCACCAUCCCAUCUAGGAAGUGAGGAGCGUCUCUGCCCGGCCGCCCAUCGUCUGAGAUGUGGGGAGCACCUCUGCCCCACUGCCCUGUCUGGGAUGUGAGGAGCGCCUCUGCUGGGCCGCAACCCUGUCUGGGAGGUGAGGAGCGUCUCUGCCCGGCUGCUCCGUCUGAGAAGUGAGGAAACCCUCUGCCUGGCAACCGCCCCGUCUGAGAAGUGAGGAGCCCCUCCGUCCGGCAACCACCCCGGCUGGGAAGUGAGGAGCGUCUCCGCCCGGCAGCCACCCCGUCCGGGAGGGAGGU
This 12821-nucleotide long non-coding RNA is filed under the name Homo sapiens (human). Its description in RNAcentral is "non-protein coding lnc-GPD2-1:3". The record is from RNAcentral. Lineage: Eukaryota; Metazoa; Chordata; Mammalia; Primates; Hominidae.